Molecule: ribosomal RNA, 519 nt
Filed under: uncultured bacterium
Lineage: Bacteria
Description: bacterial SSU rRNA
Rfam family: Bacterial small subunit ribosomal RNA
Source: RNAcentral
AGACACGGACCAGACUCCUACGGGAGGCAGCAGUGAGGAAUAUUGGACAAUGGGCGCAAGCCUGAUCCAGCCAUGCCGCGUGCAGGAUGACGGUCCUAUGGAUUGUAAACUGCUUUUGUACAGGAAGAAACACUGGUUCGUGAACCAGCUUGACGGUACUGUAAGAAUAAGGAUCGGCUAACUCCGUGCCAGCAGCCGCGGUAAUACGGAGGAUCCAAGCGUUAUCCGGAAUCAUUGGGUUUAAAGGGUCCGUAGGCGGUUUAGUAAGUCAGUGGUGAAAGCCCAUCGCUCAACGGUGGAACGGCCAUUGAUACUGCUAAACUUGAAUUAUUAGGAAGUAACUAGAAUAUGUAGUGUAGCGGUGAAAUGCUUAGAGAUUACAUGGAAUACCAAUUGCGAAGGCAGGUUACUACUAAUGGAUUGACGCUGAUGGACGAAAGCGUGGGUAGCGAACAGGAUUAGAUACCCUGGUAGUCCACGCCGUAAACGAUGGAUACUAGCUGUUGGAAGCAAUUUCAG